CCUACUGACAGAUACCUGUGCGGUGCGAGAUGCUGCACCUGCUGAAAAUAAUAAUAAGACAAAUACCAAGACCAUUUGUCUUUAUGAAAAAUGCAAUUUGGAAGUUAGGUGCUGCACUAUGGAGGAGAUUGGGAAGCGUUUCUACCUCUU
Long non-coding RNA from Epinephelus fuscoguttatus (brown-marbled grouper), 150 nucleotides. RefSeq lists it as uncharacterized. The record is from RefSeq and is a predicted model, not a curated record. The transcript has 3 exons. NCBI's taxonomy places the organism in Eukaryota, Metazoa, Chordata, Actinopteri, Perciformes, Serranidae.